UACUGGGCGUAAAGCGCACGCAGGCGGUCUGUCAAGUCGGAUGUGAAAUCCCCGGGCUCAACCUGGGAACUGCAUUCGAAACUGGCAGGCUAGAGUCUUGUAGAGGGGGGUAGAAUUCCAGGUGUAGCGGUGAAAUGCGUAGAGAUCUGGAGGAAUACCGGUGGCGAAGGCGGCCCCCUGGACAAAGACUGACGCUCAGGUGCGAAAGCGUGGGGAGCAAACAGGAUUAGAUGCCCUGGUAGUCCACGCCGUAAACGAUGUCGAUUUGGAGGUUGUGCCCUUGAGGCGUGGCUUCCGGAGCUAACGCGUUAAAUCGACCGCCUGGGGAGUACGGCCGCAAGGUUAAAACUCAAAUGACUUGACGGGGGCCCGCACAAGCGGUGGAGCAUGUGGUUUAAUUCGAUGCAACGCGAAGAACCUUACCUGGUCUUGACAUCCACAGAACUUUCCAGAGAUGGAUUGGUGCCUUCGGGAACUGUGAGACAGGUGCUGCAUGGCUGUCGUCAGCUCGUGUUGUGAAAUGUUGGGUUAAGUCCCGCAACGAGCGCAACCCUUAUCCUUUGUUGCCAGCGGUUAGGCCGGGAACUCAAAGGAGACUGCCAGUGAUAAACUGGAGGAAGGUGGGGAUGACGUCAAGUCAUCAUGGCCCUUACGACCAGGGCUACACACGUGCUACAAUGGCAUAUACAAAGAGAAGCGACCUCGCGAGAGCAAGCGGACCUCAUAAAGUAUGUCGUAGUCCGGAUUGGAGUCUGCAACUCGACUCCAUGAAGUCGGAAUCGCUAGUAAUCGUAGAUCAGAAUGCUACGGUGAAUACGUUCCCGGGCCUUGUACACACCGCCCGUCACACCAUGGGAGUGGGUUGCAAAAGAAGUA
Molecule: ribosomal RNA, 876 nt
Filed under: uncultured Enterobacteriaceae bacterium
Lineage: Bacteria; Pseudomonadati; Pseudomonadota; Gammaproteobacteria; Enterobacterales; Enterobacteriaceae
Description: SSU rRNA
Rfam family: Bacterial small subunit ribosomal RNA
Source: RNAcentral